GAUGAACGCUAGCGGGAGGCCUAAUACAUGCAAGUCGAAUGGUAACAGGUCUAGCAAUAGAUGCUGACGAAUGGCGCACGGGUGCGUAACACGUACACGAACCUGCCCUUAAUACUGGAGCAUACCCCCAAGAAAUUGGGACUAACUCUCCAUAACGUUGUAGAGCGGCAUCGCUUUACAAUUAAAACUCCGGUGGUAUAAGAUGGGUGUGCGUCCGAUUAGGUAGUUGGGAGGUAACGGCUCACCAAGCCAACGAUCGGUAGCUGGUCUGAGAGGGCGAUCAGCCACACGGGCACU
This 297-nucleotide ribosomal RNA is filed under the name uncultured bacterium. RNAcentral describes it as "partial 16S ribosomal RNA". It matches the Rfam family "Bacterial small subunit ribosomal RNA", at positions 28 to 320 of the family's 1533-position model. The record is from RNAcentral.